UUCACUCGGGUAUUUGGGGUAUUUUUCAUGUUGGGGUACUAUUCACGACAUACUAUUCCCGAAGUACUAUUUGUGGCGACCCCAAAUCCAGGUACUUGAAACCCGAACUCGGUUCCCCACGAUACCAUUUCUUUAAGCUGAAUAAUACUAAAUAAUAAUACAUUCGAACUUAAUUUACAUAAAGUUUACUUUCCCAGGUACGUGACCUUCAAAAUACAUUCCUUACAAUACCUGACAAUAGAUUCCAUUGUCUUACUAACUAUAACCAUUAACUCAUACUAAUUCUCAUUCGAACAACUUUUCUUUUCCCUUGUUCGUGCCUGAGCCUUCAGGUCGAUCGUAN
Molecule: long non-coding RNA, 343 nt
Filed under: Panax ginseng (ginseng)
Lineage: Eukaryota; Viridiplantae; Streptophyta; Magnoliopsida; Apiales; Araliaceae
Description: long non-coding RNA (PGIN_LNC001478)
Source: RNAcentral